Molecule: long non-coding RNA, 1665 nt
Filed under: Homo sapiens (human)
Lineage: Eukaryota; Metazoa; Chordata; Mammalia; Primates; Hominidae
Description: non-protein coding lnc-MMRN1-12:20
Source: RNAcentral
AGUCUGUGAGCUGGGAGCCUGUUGGCAGGUCCCUCUUUUUAUUUUCGCUGAGAGCUUUCUUUUACUAAAUGCCACCAUCCUUACCUUUCAAGGUGUCUGCGUGCCUAAUUUUUCCUGGUUGUUAGACAAGAACCCGGAUUUUAGUUGAACUCUGGAGCAAAAAUCCUGCAUCAUUUGUAGGUAAUGUUUGUUUUCUUUGGUUGCUUUUAUGACCUUCUCUUUAUUCCUAGUAUUUGGGCAUUUCACAAAAACAUUUAUAAAUCUGAAUUAAAAAACAAACUGACCUUGCCAAGGACCCUACUGAUCCCUUUUCAUAUAAUUCUAUCUGCUAGGUCUUGUGCUGCCUUCUAAGUUAGUUCAUCAGUUCUAUACUUCAGUAUUUAAUUCUAUAUUCAGCCAUGUUAUCAAAUGUUUAUUUCAACCUUUGAGUUUCUCAUUUGUAAUAGUAUUUUUUCAUUUUUAUGUUUUUAAAAGAGUUCUUUUCAUAUUUUACUAUUUUUGUUUAGUAACUUUCAGUACUUGUUGCGUAGAUUUUAUUUCAUCUUUAUGUUUUUGAGAUGUUUGCAUAACACAUUUAAAGACAAUUACAUAUUGUUGUAUGAUUUCCAUUUCCUUGGUCAAGAAUUCUCCCAUUUGUUGCAUCUCUGAAGAGUUUCCCAAGGUGGGUUAAUCUUGAAUAUGGUAAACUUGCUGCCCUCAGUUUUUUAGUUUUAAUACUUUAUCAGUUGUUUCUUGUUCUUUUUUUUUCUGGGCAUAUUAUUACCUCAUUUGAAAAUAAUGACAAUUUUGGCCUUUCUCUUCGAGAUUUUGUAACUCAUUUUCUUUUCUUUUCACAUAGAAUUUGAUAAGGCCUCCAGUACUUUGUGAUAUAGUAGUUGUGGGGAUGGUCCUUCUUGUCUUACUGCUGAUCUCAAGUUUAUGUUUGUAGCAAAUUUUUGCUACAUGACCAUUACAAGUUUAAGAGGUUACCAAGAGUUUUUAUUACAAAUACCUUAAAUCUUAGCAAAGACUAUAAAAACUGAGAUAAACAUGUUUUUCUUCUAAAUAGUAAUCAUUUAGACAAAUCACAAAUGUGAUAUCAGAUUAGUGCAUCCUACACUGUAUGGAAACUAUAAAUUCAUGAUUUUCAAAAAUUGUAGGUAAAUAUUUAUUUUUCAAAAUAAUUUAUCCAUCUUGCUUUACCAAAAAAGGCAAGGUCUUGUUUUUCUUUCCCUAUACAGUAGUAAUGGCUCUUUGGUGUAAAAACUUUAUAGGACCUAAAGUAAAAAAGAAGAUAAAAACCAGUUUGUCUUUCAAAGUCUUAAAAUAUUUCAUUAACCUCGUAGUGCCUGAUCUCUGUCACCAAGCAAAUAGUCUGAACUAUUAUUUCCAAGCUCAAUUCAAACAGGUAAAGUUUUACUACAAUUAUAUCUGGCCAUCACUACAGUGUUUUCUCCAAUCACUUCCAAAGCCUACCCCUUUUCUUUAUCAUACUUCCACCUACAUUGCAUAAUACAGAGCUUAGCUAGUGAGGUACAAGUGAUAAGGAUUAUCUCCCCAGAGUCUCCGGGCCUUGGUAAUUCCUAGACCACAGCACCAUGCAUUAGGUUAUAGUCACAGGCCUCUAUAUAGUCUUCCACAUAUCCCAUUACAUUUUAAAUCCUAUGCAUACCCUUUAUAUCCUGC